UUAGAGUUUGAUCCUGGCUCAGAACGAACGUUGGCGGCGUGGAUUAGGCAUGCAAGUCGGGGGAAUCCCAGCAAUGGGGGAACCGGCGUAAGGGGCAGUAAGGCGUGGGUACCUACCCCGGGGUUCGGGAUAGCCGUCUGAGAGGGCGGGUAAUACCGGAUGACCUGGUGACAGCAAAGAUUUAUCGCCCUGGGAGGGGCCCACGUGAUAUUAGGUAGUUGGCGGGGUAACGGCCCACCAAGCCUUAGAUGUCUAGCGGGUGUGAGAGCACGACCCGCGCCACUGGCACUGAGACACUGGCCAGACACCUACGGGUGGCUGCAGUCGAGGAUCUUCGGCAAUGGGCGCAAGCCUGACCGAGCGACGCCGCGUGGGCGAUGAAGGCCUUCGGGUUGUAAAGCCCUGUCGGGGGGGAGAAAAGGGUAAAACUUUGAUCUAUCCCCGGAGGAAGCACGGGCUAAGUUCGUGCCAGCAGCCGCGGUAAGACGAACCGUGCGAACGUUGUUCGGAAUCACUGGGCUUAAAGGGCGCGUAGGCGGGCCUCCAAGUCCGGGGUGAAAGCCUCCAGCCUAACUGGAGAAGCGCCUCGGAGACUGGGGGCCUCGAGGGAGGUAGGGGCAAGCGGAACUAUGGGUGGAGCGGUGAAAUGCAUUGAUAUCCAUAGGAACUCCGGUGGCGAAGGCGGCUUGCUGGACCUCUUCUGACGCUGAGGCGCGAAAGCCAGGGGAGCAAACGGGAUUAGAUACCCCGGUAGUCCUGGCCCUAAACGUUGGGGACUAGGUAGUCGACCAGACAUGGGUUGACUGCCGGAGCAAAAGUGCUAAGUCCCCCGCCUGGGGGAGUAUGGUCGCAAGGCUGAAACUCAAAGGAAUUGACGGGGGCUCACACAAGCGGUGGAGCAUGUGGCUCAAUUCGAGGCUACGCGAAGAACCUUAUCCUGGGCUUGACAUGUGCGAAAGCGCCAGCAGGUAGGACACGGAAACGUGAACGAACGGUAUCCAAUCCGGAAGCUGGUACAGGUGCUGCAUGGCUGUCGUCAGCUCGUGUCGUGAGAUGUCGGGUUAAGUCCCAUAACGAGCGAAACCCUUAUCUUCAGUUGCCAGCGGGUCAUGCCGGGGACUCUGGAGAGACUGCCGGUGUCAAACCGGAGGAAGGUGGGGAUGACGUCAAGUCCUCAUGGCCUUUAUGCCCAGGGCUGCACACGUGCUACAAUGGCGUGAACAGAGGGACGCAAGAGCGCAAGCUGGAGCUAAUCCCACAAAGCACGCCCCAGUUCAGAUCGAAGGCUGCAACUCGCCUUCGUGAAGUCGGAAUCGCCAGUAAUCGCGGGUCAGCAACACCGCGGUGAAUGUGUUCCUGAGCCUUGUACACACCGCCCGUCAAGCCACGAAAGGGUAGAGCCGCCGAAGUCGUCGCAAGGCGCCGAAGCGGAGAUGCCUGAUUGGGACUAAGUCGUAACAAGGUAACC
Molecule: ribosomal RNA, 1468 nt
Filed under: uncultured bacterium
Lineage: Bacteria
Description: 16S ribosomal RNA
Rfam family: Bacterial small subunit ribosomal RNA
Source: RNAcentral